UAUACAACUGACGAGGCUAUU
This 21-nucleotide unclassified non-coding RNA is filed under the name Influenza B virus. RNAcentral describes it as "3' vRNA from Influenza B virus (PDB 8BE0, chain R)". The record is from RNAcentral. Lineage: Riboviria; Orthornavirae; Negarnaviricota; Insthoviricetes; Articulavirales; Orthomyxoviridae.